CGUAUUUCUUCUUAGUCUUCAUUUUUUUAAACUAACUUUAUGCUAUGGAAUAGGUUGUUCAGUUAUUGAAAUCUGAAGAGUUGUAAUCCUAUCUUCUAAUUCUGUUGGUUGUGUUUGCUCUUUCUUGUUCAUAGUGUGUGUGUUAAUUUGUAUUAUUCUCUCCUCUUAAGACACUUGGAAGACCCGGAUUGAAGCUUGUCUCUUUGUCAAGUUUAUAUCUGCUUCUGCCAAGCACCUAAGGGAUAUUAAUUUUAAUGGCCAUUUCUACGCUUGGGUUUCCCCAGGCCAUGCAGGAUGGACCCUUUAUAGGACCGCAGUCUGUGACAUCUUGACACACUCCUACCUGCCAUAGUGGAAGGAAGAAGUUCAUGUACUGCAAACUCUCCUCAGCUAAGCUUCCGACCUUUUUGAGGGGGGAAAAAAAUUACCAGAAAUCCUUAACUUGAGGGGAAGGAAACAGCAUUGACUCCAUCAGUCACUGCGGGGAGUUUAAUUAUCAUCUAAUCAUCACAUCUGGCCUGUGACACAAGCUUUUGUACCCCGAUUUUGCAGAUAAGGACACUUAUCUGGCGUUUACGAACCAUGUGAUUUUGCUAAGUAACUACACAGAUGAGCCCUUUUCACCAAAGCACCCGAGUUUCUCACUGUCCCUUUAUGAAAUUAGAGUCAUCAAGCUGUUCCUCUCGCCUUGGUACCAGAUCUGUUCAAAGCCGGGCUCAGAGGAAGGCACCUGUCCUUCCCUCCCAGCCCUCAGCAGAGUCCAGGAGCACCAGACUCCGAGGCUCAGCCUGGGCAUCCUCGGCGUAACCCAUCCGCUCUGCUCUUCCUUAUCCACAGCCCAGUACUAGGUCUGCAGAGCGCCGCGUGCUGGCCUGGAAAUAAAGUGCUCUGAAGGGAUUCCUGGAGUUUUCCAAGCACUGGGGGCCUCCCUGCGAGCGCGAUCGUUUGCAGUUAGCACGGAAUCCUGGAGGGGGCGCCCGAGGCCUCCCACGAGCCAAGCGCGGACUGCGGGAGCGCCCGCACCACCCCGCGCACUUGAACACCCGAGGGUUGCGGGAUCUGCAGCCAGUGACUGAACGCCUGGUGGCUGGGGAAACUUACAGGCAACUCCUCACAGAAUAUAUAGCCUCUGUUCUCAAAUAGGAUGAGCAGGGGCUUCAAAAAGUUGGGGAACUAGCGUCUGCUUCGGGUACCUGUGUCCUCUGCAGGUGGGAGCAGAGACCUCGCGCUGCCCAAUUGCUAAGGGUCCUCGAGUUUGUUAGACCAGCCCCCGCCUCAGAAGUGGAAGCUCAAUUAUUCCUUCCCAGUAAUUAAAAUGCACAACCA
This 1326-nucleotide long non-coding RNA is filed under the name Homo sapiens (human). RNAcentral's name for it is "HSALNT0028132". Lineage: Eukaryota; Metazoa; Chordata; Mammalia; Primates; Hominidae. The record is from RNAcentral.